Callithrix jacchus (white-tufted-ear marmoset) is the source of this 1319-nucleotide long non-coding RNA. The record is from Ensembl. Lineage: Eukaryota; Metazoa; Chordata; Mammalia; Primates; Cebidae.
CUGAGCUUCAAAGCUGGUUGGUGGCUGCAUCCCCCUGGCCAAGGUAGAGCAGGGGGUAAAGGGGUGAAACAAAGAAGAGGCCCUUGGAGCAGACCAGUGGACAGAUGAUGGUGGCCGGACCAGGGCGGGAUGCUGAAGGUGGGGAGAAGUGGCUGGAGCCGGCAUUUUCCUCCAGGCUUCAGCAUAGCUAACGCUCCUGGGGGCUUACUGUGCCCCAGACCUCCUGAGAAGUCAGCAUGGAACUGCUCACUAAGCAUGAAUUGGGGAAUAAUUCGCCACCAUUAUUUUGUGGACCCUCAGAACAAGGAAGCUUGGUUCUUCUCCUUCUGCCCAUUUUGUAGGGGAGGAAACCAUGGAAACUCAGAGUGCUCCUCUGACAUUUGCCGAAGGAUAUAUGGACAAUAAAGAGCAGAGCUGAUAUCAGAGCUCAAGCUUGCAAAUGUGUAUGCGGGCCGCCAUGCCAUGUCUGCCACCUCUCUCAUGGUACUGUUGGGGGACAGGAGGGCCAUUGGAGGCAGCGGGCUUUGCCCUACUACCCAUGGCACAUAGAUUUUAAAUAAGAGCUUUGAUCUGGAAGCAGCAUGGGGUAUGUAUUGCCUCAACUCAGCUUGACAUGGGGUCUUCUAUCCAACAAAUGACGCCAACCCUCACCAGGCCUGAAGACCUUGCCUGGAGAAGAAGCAGUGGCGUGAAGUCAAAGAGGUGCAUUCACCUGCCAGCUUUGCCUCUGCCUGCGUUCUGUACCUGAGCCUCAGGAAUCACAUUUUCGUCUUGGUUUUGCUACAAAAAUUUAGAAGCAGCAGCAUGUGUGAAAACCCUAGCUCAGACUGUCAGACUGGGCACUGGAGAGACACCAGCAGCCACGAUCCACUGAGUUUGCUUUAGGGCAGGCAGUGGGACAGGUAUGCUAACGCAUCCCCAAAUCCUGACAGCCACCCAGAGGUAGCUCCUGUUAUUGUGGCUGCCCUGAAGUUUAACAUGGGGAGAAAUACCAGAUAUAGGUGAUGGGGGGAUGGAGGCAGCAAACCUCCUUGCCAUGUAUGUACCUAUGCAACAAUCCUGCAUGAUCUGCACAUGUACCCCAGAACCUAAAGUACGAUUAAAAAAAAAAAGAAAACUGAAGUUCUGAACAAUGUAGGAACUGCACUGAGUGGAUUUUCCACCCAGGUGAGUCGUUUAGGUCAUGACACAGCACCGCCCAUACAUGUGGGGUGUUUACAUGAGAAUUCAGAAGCGCAGAUUCAGGGGCAGGCAUUGCCUGCAUGCAUGUCCUUUACCCCGGGCUGUCUGCCCCUGGGCUGUUUGUAAUGUCAUUGGGG